UACAGAGGUCUCAAGCGUUGUUCGGAUUCAUUGGGCGUAAAGGGUGCGUAGGUGGCGCCGUAAGUGGGGUGUGAAAUCUCGGGGCUUAACUCCGAAACUGCAUUCCAUACUGCGGUGCUUGAGGACUGGAGAGGAGACUGGAAUUCAUGGUGUAGCAGUGAAAUGCGUAGAGAUCAUGAGGAAGACCAGUGGCGAAGGCGGGUCUCUGGACAGUUCCUGACACUGAGACACGAAGGCCAGGGGAGCAAACGGG
This 253-nucleotide ribosomal RNA is filed under the name uncultured bacterium. Its description in RNAcentral is "partial 16S ribosomal RNA". It matches the Rfam family "Bacterial small subunit ribosomal RNA", at positions 524 to 776 of the family's 1533-position model. The record is from RNAcentral.